This is a non-coding RNA of Potamilus streckersoni, 77 nucleotides long. The record is from the annotation of a GenBank genome assembly. NCBI's taxonomy places the organism in Eukaryota, Metazoa, Mollusca, Bivalvia, Unionida, Unionidae.
GACCGUUCCGGUGGCUUAGUGGUAAGAGUUUCUGUCUCUGAUGUGGGAAAUCACGGGUUCGAACCCCAACUGAGUCA